This 2903-nucleotide ribosomal RNA is filed under the name Escherichia sp. KTE52. Its description in RNAcentral is "bacterial LSU rRNA". It matches the Rfam family "Bacterial large subunit ribosomal RNA". Lineage: Bacteria; Pseudomonadati; Pseudomonadota; Gammaproteobacteria; Enterobacterales; Enterobacteriaceae. RNAcentral also lists the same sequence under 1 other name. The record is from RNAcentral.
UUAAGCGACUAAGCGUACACGGUGGAUGCCCUGGCAGUCAGAGGCGAUGAAGGACGUGCUAAUCUGCGAUAAGCGUCGGUAAGGUGAUAUGAACCGUUAUAACCGGCGAUUUCCGAAUGGGGAAACCCAGUGUGAUUCGUCACACUAUCAUUAACUGAAUCCAUAGGUUAAUGAGGCGAACCGGGGGAACUGAAACAUCUAAGUACCCCGAGGAAAAGAAAUCAACCGAGAUUCCCCCAGUAGCGGCGAGCGAACGGGGAGGAGCCCAGAGCCUGAAUCAGUAUGUGUGUUAGUGGAAGCGUCUGGAAAGGCGUGCGAUACAGGGUGACAGCCCCGUACACAAAAAUGCACAUGCUGUGAGCUCGAUGAGUAGGGCGGGACACGUGGUAUCCUGUCUGAAUAUGGGGGGACCAUCCUCCAAGGCUAAAUACUCCUGACUGACCGAUAGUGAACCAGUACCGUGAGGGAAAGGCGAAAAGAACCCCGGCGAGGGGAGUGAAAAAGAACCUGAAACCGUGUACGUACAAGCAGUGGGAGCCUCUUUAAUGGGGUGACUGCGUACCUUUUGUAUAAUGGGUCAGCGACUUAUAUUCUGUAGCAAGGUUAACCGAAUAGGGGAGCCGAAGGGAAACCGAGUCUUAACUGGGCGUUAAGUUGCAGGGUAUAGACCCGAAACCCGGUGAUCUAGCCAUGGGCAGGUUGAAGGUUGGGUAACACUAACUGGAGGACCGAACCGACUAAUGUUGAAAAAUUAGCGGAUGACUUGUGGCUGGGGGUGAAAGGCCAAUCAAACCGGGAGAUAGCUGGUUCUCCCCGAAAGCUAUUUAGGUAGCGCCUCGUGAAUUCAUCUCCGGGGGUAGAGCACUGUUUCGGCAAGGGGGUCAUCCCGACUUACCAACCCGAUGCAAACUGCGAAUACCGGAGAAUGUUAUCACGGGAGACACACGGCGGGUGCUAACGUCCGUCGUGAAGAGGGAAACAACCCAGACCGCCAGCUAAGGUCCCAAAGUCAUGGUUAAGUGGGAAACGAUGUGGGAAGGCCCAGACAGCCAGGAUGUUGGCUUAGAAGCAGCCAUCAUUUAAAGAAAGCGUAAUAGCUCACUGGUCGAGUCGGCCUGCGCGGAAGAUGUAACGGGGCUAAACCAUGCACCGAAGCUGCGGCAGCGACACUAUGUGUUGUUGGGUAGGGGAGCGUUCUGUAAGCCGUUGAAGGUGUGCUGUGAGGCAUGCUGGAGGUAUCAGAAGUGCGAAUGCUGACAUAAGUAACGAUAAAGCGGGUGAAAAGCCCGCUCGCCGGAAGACCAAGGGUUCCUGUCCAACGUUAAUCGGGGCAGGGUGAGUCGACCCCUAAGGCGAGGCCGAAAGGCGUAGUCGAUGGGAAACAGGUUAAUAUUCCUGUACUUGGUGUUACUGCGAAGGGGGGACGGAGAAGGCUAUGUUGGCCGGGCGACGGUUGUCCCGGUUUAAGCGUGUAGGCUGAUUUUCCAGGCAAAUCCGGAGAAUCAAGGCUGAGGCGUGAUGACGAGGCACUACGGUGCUGAAGCAACAAAUGCCCUGCUUCCAGGAAAAGCCUCUAAGCAUCAGGUAACAUCAAAUCGUACCCCAAACCGACACAGGUGGUCAGGUAGAGAAUACCAAGGCGCUUGAGAGAACUCGGGUGAAGGAACUAGGCAAAAUGGUGCCGUAACUUCGGGAGAAGGCACGCUGAUAUGUAGGUGAAGCGACUUGCUCGUGGAGCUGAAAUCAGUCGAAGAUACCAGCUGGCUGCAACUGUUUAUUAAAAACACAGCACUGUGCAAACACGAAAGUGGACGUAUACGGUGUGACGCCUGCCCGGUGCCGGAAGGUUAAUUGAUGGGGUCAGCCGCAAGGCGAAGCUCUUGAUCGAAGCCCCGGUAAACGGCGGCCGUAACUAUAACGGUCCUAAGGUAGCGAAAUUCCUUGUCGGGUAAGUUCCGACCUGCACGAAUGGCGUAAUGAUGGCCAGGCUGUCUCCACCCGAGACUCAGUGAAAUUGAACUCGCUGUGAAGAUGCAGUGUACCCGCGGCAAGACGGAAAGACCCCGUGAACCUUUACUAUAGCUUGACACUGAACAUUGAGCCUUGAUGUGUAGGAUAGGUGGGAGGCUUUGAAGUGUGGACGCCAGUCUGCAUGGAGCCGACCUUGAAAUACCACCCUUUAAUGUUUGAUGUUCUAACGUGGACCCGUGAUCCGGGUUGCGGACAGUGUCUGGUGGGUAGUUUGACUGGGGCGGUCUCCUCCUAAAGAGUAACGGAGGAGCACGAAGGUUGGCUAAUCCUGGUCGGACAUCAGGAGGUUAGUGCAAUGGCAUAAGCCAGCUUGACUGCGAGCGUGACGGCGCGAGCAGGUGCGAAAGCAGGUCAUAGUGAUCCGGUGGUUCUGAAUGGAAGGGCCAUCGCUCAACGGAUAAAAGGUACUCCGGGGAUAACAGGCUGAUACCGCCCAAGAGUUCAUAUCGACGGCGGUGUUUGGCACCUCGAUGUCGGCUCAUCACAUCCUGGGGCUGAAGUAGGUCCCAAGGGUAUGGCUGUUCGCCAUUUAAAGUGGUACGCGAGCUGGGUUUAGAACGUCGUGAGACAGUUCGGUCCCUAUCUGCCGUGGGCGCUGGAGAACUGAGGGGGGCUGCUCCUAGUACGAGAGGACCGGAGUGGACGCAUCACUGGUGUUCGGGUUGUCAUGCCAAUGGCACUGCCCGGUAGCUAAAUGCGGAAGAGAUAAGUGCUGAAAGCAUCUAAGCACGAAACUUGCCCCGAGAUGAGUUCUCCCUGAGACUUUAAGUCUCCUGAAGGAACGUUGAAGACGACGACGUUGAUAGGCCGGGUGUGUAAGCGCAGCGAUGCGUUGAGCUAACCGGUACUAAUGAACCGUGAGGCUUAACCUU